RNAcentral lists this ribosomal RNA (253 nucleotides) under uncultured bacterium. RNAcentral's name for it is "partial 16S ribosomal RNA". It matches the Rfam family "Bacterial small subunit ribosomal RNA", at positions 524 to 776 of the family's 1533-position model. The record is from RNAcentral.
UCCGUAGGUGGCAAGCGUUGUCCGGAUUUACUGGGUGUAAAGGGCGUGCAGCCGGAGAGACAAGUCAGAUGUGAAAUCCACGGGCUCAACCCGUGAACUGCAUUUGAAACUGUUUCCCUUGAGUGUCGGAGAGGUAAUCGGAAUUCCUUGUGUAGCGGUGAAAUGCGUAGAUAUAAGGAAGAACACCAGUGGCGAAGGCGGAUUACUGGACGAUAACUGACGGUGAGGCGCGAAAGCGUGGGGAGCAAACAGG